Long non-coding RNA from Lethenteron reissneri (Far Eastern brook lamprey), 2342 nucleotides. RefSeq lists it as uncharacterized. The record is from RefSeq and is a predicted model, not a curated record. NCBI's taxonomy places the organism in Eukaryota, Metazoa, Chordata, Hyperoartia, Petromyzontiformes, Petromyzontidae.
GGUGACGCAUACCCAGCACAGCCGACUGGGCUCGUCUGACGACCAUGGGUACUGGACCCUGAACAGGGCUUGGGCGCACGGCCAUUCACACUGCAUGCCCGCAGACGAUGACGGUGGCUUCUUUGAGGCCUACAGAGGCCAGCACGGCGCUCACACUGGCACAGGAUCUGUGAUGAUGCUGCUGCUAAAUGGCCAUGAGUGAGUGGCGCUCCCACUGGCACAGGCUCUGUGAUACUGCUGCUGAAUGGCCAUGAGUGAGUGGCGCUCACACUGACACAGGCUCUGUGAUACUGCUGCUGAAUGGCCAUGAGUGAGUGGCGCUCACACUGACAGAGGCUCUGUGCUGCUGCUGCUGAAUGGCCAUGAGUGAGUGGCGCUCACACUGUCACAGGCUCUGUGCUGCUGCUGCUGCUGCUGAAUGGCCAUGAGUGAUUGGCGCUCACACUGACACAGGCUCUGUGAUACUGCUGCUGAAUGGCCAUGAGUGAGUGGCGCUCACACUGACAGAGGCUCUGCGAUGCUGCUGCUGAAUGGCCAUGAGUGAGUGGCGCUCACACUGACAGAGGCUCUGCGAUGCUGCUGCAGCUGAAUGGCCAUGAGUGAGUGGCGCUCACACUGGCACAGGCUCUGUGAUGCUGCUGCUUGCAGACAACACCGAAUGCUCUCAGACGCCCGUGGCCCAUGGCCACCUGUGGACGUGAAGAGGCCAUCCACUGCCCCAAUCAGCUUCUUGUCUCUGGGUCUCCGGGUUCCUUCUCUUUGUUGUCAUGAUUCUGUUUAACACGCAGCAGCGGUAUUAGUAGUAGUAGGAGGAGGCUUUCGUGACCAAUAUUAUCCAUGAGGCUUUUGGGUUAAAUUGCGUGAAUAUAAAAGUGUCGUUAAACCCCCCACCACCCAACACAGCCAAUUAGUAAGGUUUGUCACGUAAACAAAACCUGCCAAUUAGUGACGAGUACGGCACUAAGCGGCUGUGUGUCGAGAGUAAACCCACUACAACAUCUACAACUCGAGUACAGCACUAAGUGGCUGUGUGUUGAGAGUGAACCCACUACAAUAUCUACAACUCGAGUACAGCACUAAGCGGCUAUGUGUUGAGAGUAAACCCACUACAACAUCCACAACUCGAGUACAGCACUAAGCAGCUGUGUGUUGAGAGUAAACCCACUACAACAUUUACAACUCGAGUACGGCGUUUCGCCGGUAAUUACAACCGGCCUGAUGUCCGUGUCAGGUGGGGGUGGCGGUGUGGGAAUGUGCAGCGAGGGCGGGAGACGGCUCCACUCGCGCGGCGUGCGUGGUAGCCGGCAGGGCUCCGCCUGGAGGGGAGAGGCCUCGUCGCGGGGCGGUGGGCCCCUGGGUCCGGGUUGGGCAGCAGGAGGAGGGGCAGUGGCGUAGACGUGGGCACUCGUGGCAAGUGCAGCGAGCAGAGACGGAGCCUGGUGGAGGCGGCAUUUAAUCUCGUAAUCUUUUGCUUUAAUUUUAACAUUUUACACGAUAAAGUAGAUUCUAGCGCAACCGAUAGGGUUUGGUUACGAUGGUCCGAGCGCGAUUCCAUUCGGCAGAGCGGCCCUGGCCGCUGUUCACGGCGGGGGUUCUCCACUGUAGCUGUGCUGCAGGUGCCUACGAGCGAGGCCGUGGAUAGCAGUGGGGGAGCGGAGACGACCAAGGAGUCGGUGUGGAAGAGCCAUCGGCUCCAAGGGCCACGAAGCCCUGGCGAGUCGUGAUGAGGAGUGCAGCAGCAGCGGCAGUGGCCGGACCAUCGGGGCUGCAGACUCCAGAAGGCCGAGAGCCUCUCUGCUCCUCGUCACCUGCCUGCCGUGGUGGCCUCGAUUAGCACCAUCGCAAUCAAACACAAAGUAGAACCUGGGCUCGUGCUCAUGAACAGUGGAAGACGGCGUUAGGUUCUAGUUGAGCGUCGGGGUGAGGUCGUCCCGCCAGCUCUACCGCUCGCCUGGGAGGAGCCAUAAUUCUAGAUUUGAAGCUUUCGUGACUGCAAGGAUUCAUAUUCUUAGGUUUUUUCGGUAAAGUCGCGUAGAUACAUUUUUUUAAUUAAUAAAAGUAAAAUAAAAUAAAAAUCACGACGUUUCGGAGGCAACACAAGCUUCCGUCUUCAGGUGGAACCGUCACAGCACGACAGCUGUAUCAAGUGAGAGAAAUUCCAUAAUCCCACUCCGCAAGAGCCUCCCAGGUGCUGUUGUAGACUUGGCGGCUAAGGGAUGAGGUUCUUAAAAGGCAUUCUGCAUUUUCUUCACGGUGAUCAUUAACCAUUAUAAGUCGACGUGAUUGUCAUGUAAAACCCGCUGCUUGCUAAUUGCUCCAUUAAACAUCUACUGCAGCCCUUG